UUAUUGAAGAAAAUGAAUCUAGAGUCGGUUGUCGCUGGCCCUCCGGGCAUGUGCACGCCUUCUCUUUUUCAUCCACACACACACACCUGUGCAUUUGUGAGACGGGAGGGUCUAUUUUAUUAUGGACCUUUUCGUCUAUUAAAACCCACACAAACUCAUUUAUUUUGAACCGAAUGUAAUUGAUGUAGCACAUCAUUUGAACUAAGUUUCAACAACGGAUCUCUUGGCUCUCGCAUCGAUGAAGAACGCAGCGAAAUGCGAUAAGUAAUGUUAAUUGCAGAAUUCAGUGAAUCAUCGAAUCUUUGAACGCACCUUGCGCCCCUUGGUAUUCCUUGGAGCAUGCCUGUUUGAGUAUCAUGAAAUUCUCAAAGCAAGCCUUUUGUUAAUUCAAUCGGUCUUCUUGCUUUGGACUUGGAGGCUUGCAGAUUUCACACUCUGCUCCUCUUAAAUUCAUUAGCUGGAUCUCGGUAUAUGCUCGGUUCCACUCGGCGUGAUAAGUAAAUCACUCGUCGAGGACACUGUUAAAAAGGUGGCCGGGAAAUGCAGACGAACCGCUUCCAAUGGUCUAUUGAAUUAGGCAAUACUCUUAAGAUCUCUGAUCUCAAAUCAGGCAGGACUACCCGCUGAACUUAAGCAU
This 637-nucleotide small RNA is filed under the name uncultured fungus. Its description in RNAcentral is "eukaryotic LSU rRNA". The stretch from base 204 to 357 matches the Rfam family "5.8S ribosomal RNA". The record is from RNAcentral. Lineage: Eukaryota; Fungi.